RNAcentral lists this ribosomal RNA (233 nucleotides) under uncultured bacterium. Its description in RNAcentral is "partial 16S ribosomal RNA". It matches the Rfam family "Bacterial small subunit ribosomal RNA", at positions 794 to 1027 of the family's 1533-position model. The record is from RNAcentral.
UCCACGCCGUAAACGAUGUCAACUAGCCGUUGGGCACUUUAGUGUUCAGUGGCGCAGCUAACGCGUGAAGUUGACCGCCUGGGGAGUACGGCCGCAAGGCUAAAACUCAAAUGAAUUGACGGGGGCCCGCACAAGCGGUGGAGCAUGUGGUUUAAUUCGAUGCAACGCGAAGAACCUUACCUACCCUUGACAUCCUCAGAACUUGUUAGAGAUAACUUGGUGCCUUCGGGAAC